CGGACCGGCGCGACGGUGAGUAACGCGUAUGCAACUUACCUAUCAGGAGGGGAUAACCCGGCGAAAGUCGGACUAAUACCGCAUAAAGCAGGGAUCCCGCAUGGGAAUAUUUGCUAAAGAUUCAUCGCUGAUAGAUAGGCAUGCGUUCCAUUAGGCAGUUGGCGGGGUAACGGCCCACCAAACCGACGAUGGAUAGGGGUUCUGAGAGGAAGGUCCCCCACAUUGGUACUGAGACACGGACCAA
This 244-nucleotide ribosomal RNA is filed under the name uncultured bacterium. Its description in RNAcentral is "partial 16S ribosomal RNA". It matches the Rfam family "Bacterial small subunit ribosomal RNA", at positions 91 to 334 of the family's 1533-position model. The record is from RNAcentral.